RNAcentral lists this ribosomal RNA (901 nucleotides) under Phialocephala compacta. RNAcentral's name for it is "LSU rRNA". It matches the Rfam family "Eukaryotic large subunit ribosomal RNA", at positions 38 to 966 of the family's 3401-position model. The record is from RNAcentral. Lineage: Eukaryota; Fungi; Ascomycota; Leotiomycetes; Helotiales; Mollisiaceae.
GCAUAUCAAUAAGCGGAGGAAAAGAAACCAACAGGGAUUGCCUCAGUAACGGCGAGUGAAGCGGCAACAGCUCAAAUUUGAAAGCUGCCAUCCGGCCGCGUUGUAAUUUGUAGAAGCUGCUUUGGGUGUCGGCCCGGUCUAAGUUCCUUGGAACAGGACGUCACAGAGGGUGAGAAUCCCGUACGUGAUCGGUGCCGUUGCCCGUGUAAAGCGCUUUCGACGAGUCGAGUUGUUUGGGAAUGCAGCUCAAAAUGGGUGGUAAAUUUCAUCUAAAGCUAAAUAUUGGCCAGAGACCGAUAGCGCACAAGUAGAGUGAUCGAAAGAUGAAAAGCACUUUGGAAAGAGAGUUAAACAGUACGUGAAAUUGUUGAAAGGGAAGCGCUUGCAACCAGACUUGCGGGCGGUCGAUCAUCCGAGGUUCUCCCCGGUGCACUCGAUCGUUCUCAGGCCAGCAUCGGUUUCCGGGGUGGGAUAAAGGCGGUGGGAAUGUGGCUCUUCGGAGUGUUAUAGCCCACCGUGCCAUGCUGCCUCCGGGGACCGAGGACCGCGCUUCGGCUAGGAUGCUGGCGUAAUGGUUGUAAGCGACCCGUCUUGAAACACGGACCAAGGAGUCUAACAUCUAUGCGAGUGUUUGGGUGUCAAACCCAUCCGCGUAAUGAAAGUGAACGGAGGUAAGAGCCCGUUAGGGUGCAUUAUCGACCGAUCCUGAUGUCUUCGGAUGGAUUUGAGUAAGAGCAUAGCUGUUGGGACCCGAAAGAUGGUGAACUAUGCGUGAAUAGGGUGAAGCCAGAGGAAACUCUGGUGGAGGCUCGCAGCGGUUCUGACGUGCAAAUCGAUCGUCAAAUUUGCGUAUAGGGGCGAAAGACUAAUCGAACCAUCUAGUAGCUGGUUCCUGCCGAAG